Molecule: ribosomal RNA, 253 nt
Filed under: uncultured bacterium
Lineage: Bacteria
Description: partial 16S ribosomal RNA
Rfam family: Bacterial small subunit ribosomal RNA
Source: RNAcentral
UACGUAGGUGGCAAGCGUUGUCCGGAUUUACUGGGCGUAAAGAGCGCGCAGGCGGUUAUUCAAGUCGAAUGGGAAAGCCCCCGGCUUAACUGGGGAGGGUCAUUCGAUACUGUUUAACUUGAAGGCAGGAGAGGGUAGUGGAAUUCCCGGUGUAGUGGUGAAAUGCGUAGAUAUCGGGAGGAACACCAGUGGCGAAGGCGACUACCUGGCCUGUUCUUGACGCUGAGGCGCGAAAGCUGGGGGAGCAAACGGG